Cercocebus atys (sooty mangabey) is the source of this 648-nucleotide non-coding RNA. The record is from the annotation of a RefSeq genome assembly. NCBI's taxonomy places the organism in Eukaryota, Metazoa, Chordata, Mammalia, Primates, Cercopithecidae.
AUGCCUUUCCCAAGUGACCCCACUCUCACCAACUAUCAGGAGGAUGGACGGCGGCCCGCACUCCAUAAUGUUCAGCUUAUGAAAUAUUUGUCUAUGAAUCUAUGCUCCAGUAAGGGACAAUUUCAGUUAUUGAGACAAUGUAGACAGCUUCAAUCCCAGGUGCCUGAGAGCCAGGAAUCCAUUCACAGGACCUGCAGCUUCACAGAUGGAAGCUCCCGUUAUAAAAAGCUCAGCCCUAACCUUGCCUUGACUGAUCAGGACUCCUCAGGUCACCUUCUCACAGUGAGGCUCCCUGCUCAGCUCCUGGGGCUACUGGUGCUCUGGCUCCCUGGGACCAGUGGGGAUAUUGUGAUGACCCAGACUCCACUCUCCCUGCCCGUCACCCUUGGAGAGCCGGCCUCCAUCUCCUGCAGGUCUAGUCAGAGCCUCCUGCAUACAUGGUAUCAGCAGAAACCAGGGAAAGCCCCUAAGCUCCUGAUCUAUGCUGCAUCCAGUUUGCAAAGUGGGAUCCCCUCUCGGUUCAGUGGCAAUGGAUCUGGGACAGAUUUCACUCUCACCAUCAGCAGCCUGCAGCCUGAAGAUUUUGCCACUUAUUACUGUCAACAGCAUUACAGUUACCCUCCCACAGUGUUAGAGGUCAUAAUAUAA